AGAGUUUGAUCAUGGCUCAGAUUGAACGCUGGCGGCAUGCUUAAUACAUGCAAGUCGAACGGUAACAGAUUCUUCGGAAUGCUGACGAGUGGCGGACGGGUGAGUAAUACAUAGGAAUCUGCCCAUGUAGUGGGGGACAACUUGGGGAAACUCAAGCUAAUACCGCAUAAUUCCUACGGGAUAAAGAGGGCCACUGCUUGCAAGCUCUUGCUACUGGAUGAGCCUAUGUCGGAUUAGUUAGUUGGUAAGGUAAUGGCUUACCAAGACAGCGAUCCGUAGCUGGUUUGAGAGGAUGAUCAGCCACACUGGGACUGAGACACGGCCCAGACUCCUACGGGAGGCAGCAGUAGGGAGUAUUGGACAAUGGGCGCAAGCCUGAUCCAGCAAUGCCGCGUGUGUGAAGAAGGCCUGCGGGUUGUAAAGCACUUUCAAUUGGGAAGAAAGAUUAUGAGUUAAUACCUUAUAAU
Molecule: ribosomal RNA, 467 nt
Filed under: uncultured bacterium
Lineage: Bacteria
Description: bacterial SSU rRNA
Rfam family: Bacterial small subunit ribosomal RNA
Source: RNAcentral